Molecule: ribosomal RNA, 381 nt
Filed under: Sesamia cretica
Lineage: Eukaryota; Metazoa; Arthropoda; Insecta; Lepidoptera; Noctuidae
Description: partial 16S large subunit ribosomal RNA
Source: RNAcentral
AUUUAAUUGAUGACUUGUAUGAAGGAUUGGAUGAAAUAUAAACUGUCUCUUAAUUAUUGAAUAGAAUUUAAUUUUUUAAUUAAAAAGUUAAAAUAUAUUAAAAAGACGAGAAGACCCUAUAGAUUUUUAUAAAAAAUUUAGUUAAUAUUAUUUAUGAAAAAUUAAAAUUAAAAUUAAAUUUAUUUAUUGUAUUGGGGUGAUAGAAAAAUAUAAAAAACUUUUUAUAUAUUAAAACAUUUAUAAGUGGUUAAAUGAUCCAAUAUUAUUGAUUAUAAGAAAAAAUUACCUUAGGGAUAACAGCGUAAUUUUUUUUUUUAGUUCGUAUAAGAAAAAGAGUUUGCGACCUCGAUGUUGGAUUAAGAUAAAAUUUAAAUGCAGAAG